UACGUAGGGUGCAAGCGUUAUCCGGAAUUAUUGGGCGUAAAGAGCUCGUAGGCGGGUUGUCGCGUCUGCUGUGAAAACUGGAGGCUCAACCUCCAGCCUGCAGUGGGUACGGGCAAACUAGAGUGCGGUAGGGGAGAUUGGAAUUCCUGGUGUAGCGGUGGAAUGCGCAGAUAUCAGGAGGAACCCCGGUGGCGAAGGCGGGUCUUUUGGCAACAACUGACGCUGAGGAGCGAAAGCGUGGGGAGCGAACAGG
Molecule: ribosomal RNA, 253 nt
Filed under: uncultured bacterium
Lineage: Bacteria
Description: partial 16S ribosomal RNA
Rfam family: Bacterial small subunit ribosomal RNA
Source: RNAcentral